Molecule: ribosomal RNA, 445 nt
Filed under: uncultured bacterium
Lineage: Bacteria
Description: bacterial SSU rRNA
Rfam family: Bacterial small subunit ribosomal RNA
Source: RNAcentral
GAUGAACGCUGGCGGCGUGCUUAACACAUGCAAGUCGAGCGAAGCAGUUAAGGAGAUUCUUCGGAUGAUUCUUAACUGACUGAGCGGCGGACGGGUGAGUAACGCGUGGGUGACCUGCCCCAUACCGGGGGAUAACAGCUGGAAACGGCUGCUAAUACCGCAUAAGCGCACAGAGCUGCAUGGCUCGGUGUGAAAAACUCCGGUGGUAUGGGAUGGGCCCGCGUCUGAUUAGGCAGUUGGCGGGGUAACGGCCCACCAAACCGACGAUCAGUAGCCGGCCUGAGAGGGCGACCGGCCACAUUGGGACUGAGACACGGCCCAAACUCCUACGGGAGGCAGCAGUGGGGAAUAUUGCACAAUGGGGGAAACCCUGAUGCAGCGACGCCGCGUGAGCGAAGAAGUAUUUCGGUAUGUAAAGCUCUAUCAGCAGGGAAGAUAAUGACGG